Molecule: long non-coding RNA, 399 nt
Organism: Helianthus annuus (common sunflower)
Lineage: Eukaryota; Viridiplantae; Streptophyta; Magnoliopsida; Asterales; Asteraceae
Exons: 3
Source: RefSeq, a predicted model, not a curated record
GGCAGAGGAGAGGGGAAACCCUAGUUCAAGAAAUCAAGCAAUCCAAUCCAAAUUCAUAAGCUAAUUUAGUGCAUGAUCCCUAAAUUGUGAUUAGCUAACCCUAAUCUCUUAAGUGGCGUAAAGGAAGAAGGUACAAGCACCAAGAAAACGGAAGGAGCGCAAGAUCGAGGUAAAACUCCGCUAUAGGCGAUUUGGAGAUAUGGAGCGAGCACGUGUUCAAGCCUUAUUAUACCAAGCGCUUCCGCUAGUUUAUAUGCAUACUUUUGGGUCCAUGUCUUGUUACUUUGUUAAAUCUUGUUAGAAGUCUUACACUUGAAAACUUGUUGUUUUUGUUUGGGGUAGUUUAAUGCUAAUAGGGUCGUAGGUGAAUGUUGUCUAUUAUGUCAAAAACAGGGGGCA